Molecule: ribosomal RNA, 520 nt
Filed under: uncultured bacterium
Lineage: Bacteria
Description: bacterial SSU rRNA
Rfam family: Bacterial small subunit ribosomal RNA
Source: RNAcentral
GAGUUUGAUUAUGGCUCAGAACGAACGCUGGCGGCGCGCUUAAGCAUGCAAGUCGGACGGCAAGGGGAGCUUGCUCCCCCUAGAGUGGCGGACUGGUGAGUAACGCGUGGGUGACACCCUUGAGAUGGGAUAGCCAUUAGAAAUAGUGGAUAAUACCGAAUACGCUCUUUUUUGCUGUGGCGAGAAGAGGAAACAGGCUACGGCCUGGCUCGAGGAUGGGCCCGCGUCCCAUUAGCUAGUUGGUGAGGUAACGGCCCACCAAGGCGAACGAUGGGUAUCCGGCCUGAGAGGGUGUACGGACACAUUGGGACUGAGAUACGGCCCAAACUCCUACGGGAGGCAGCAGCUAAGAAUAUUCCGCAAUGGACGAAAGUCUGACGGAGCGACGCCGCGUGGAUGAAGAAAAGGCCGAAAGGUUGUAAAAUCCUUUUGCUGAUGAAGAAUAAGUGGUGUAGGGAAUGACAUCAUGAUGAACAUUAGUCGGUGAAUAAGCCCCGGCUAACUACGUGCCAGCCGCCGC